GAGGCUCACGUUGUGAGUAGGCUCAACACCAGGAGCAGUCAUUGUCAAGGAAACCCCUCUUAUGAAUUAUCCCUAGAACUUAGCCUUCAAAGGGGGAUUUCUGGAAUCUCAAAGUUUCCAUUACAAAACCUCAGCACCACCUGGCAGGCUUCUUCCUGCUCCUCAGGGGACAUCUUCCAGAACAUAGCUGUCAGCUUCCUCACUGCCUAGCUAUGUGUUAUUCAAUGACCAUCCUGCUGCUUGGAAUGCUCCUCACAGUGAGAGGAACCGGAGCCCAGUCGGUGACGCAGCCUGAUGCCCAGGUGUUUGUGUCCGAAGGAGCCCGUCUGGAGCUGAGGUGCAACUUUUCCUACAGUGGAACUCCCUAUCUCUUCUGGUACGUGCAGCACCCCAACCAAGGACUCCAGUUUCUCCUCAAGUACACCUCAGGGAACACCUUGGUUAAAGGCAUCAAUGGUUUUGAGGCUGAAUUUAAGAGGCAUGAAAACUCCUUCCACCUGCGGAAAUCCCCAGCUCUUGGCAGCGACACAGCCAAGUACUUCUGUGCUGUGAGUGACACAGUGCCUGGGACCGCAGGGGGAGCUGAACACAAACUUCCUGCGACACUACAGUUUUCAGAGACUCAAGGACACAGUCAGACUUGUUUUUAGCAAGGUCUCUCAUUUGGUGAAAGUGAGCAAGAUGAAGGAAGAGACCUCUGGGCUGGGGGCUGGGGGGUUGCUUGGCUCCUGGCUGCUGAGGAUAAAUAGGAACUUCAAUGUGUAUCUUCUUUUACUACUGGGUCAUGUAUACACGUCCUAGAACAGAGAGGCUUGUAUGGAUAUUCUCCUUCCACUUGGGGGUGUUGUUUACUAGAAGGUCAGGUUUCCAAUUUAAUGUGACCAGUACUGAACUUCUAAUCUUUCACCUUCUGAACUCACCUCCGACAUGCUCCCCCGACUAUCUUUUCCUUUUCACGUCCUAACUGCUCCAUUCUUUCAGUCUCUGGUCAUAACUCAGAGUUAUUUUUGAUUUUUAUUUUUUCUCUCACUGCUUACAGCUAAUCCACCAAAAAAUCCAGGUGGCCUUAUCUUUAAAACUGACCCAUAAUCUGACCACUGCUGCCAUCUCCACGAGCCCUCCCUGGCCAAGCCAGCCUCG
Molecule: non-coding RNA, 1140 nt
Organism: Suricata suricatta (meerkat)
Lineage: Eukaryota; Metazoa; Chordata; Mammalia; Carnivora; Herpestidae
Source: the annotation of a RefSeq genome assembly